Molecule: transfer RNA, 75 nt
Filed under: Synergistales bacterium
Lineage: Bacteria; Thermotogati; Synergistota; Synergistia; Synergistales
Also listed under: 1 other name
Description: tRNA-Ala
Rfam family: tRNA
About the family: Transfer RNA (tRNA) molecules are approximately 80 nucleotides in length. Their secondary structure includes four short double-helical elements and three loops (D, anti-codon, and T loops).
Source: RNAcentral
GGGGCAGUAGCUCAGGGGGAGAGCACCUGCUUUGCAAGCAGGGGGUCGGGGGUUCGAGUCCCCCUUGCUCCACCA